AACGAACGCUGGCGGCAUGCCUAACACAUGCAAGUCGAACGAGACCUUCGGGUCUAGUGGCGCACGGGUGCGUAACGCGUGGGAACCUGCCCUUAGGUUCGGAAUAACUCCCCGAAAGGGGUGCUAAUACCGGAUAAUGUCUUCGGACCAAAGAUUUAUCGCCUUUGGAUGGGCCCGCGUUGGAUUAGCUAGUUGGUAGGGUAAAAGCCUACCAAGGCGACGAUCCAUAGCUGGUCUGAGAGGAUGAUCAGCCACACUGGGACUGAGACACGGCCCAGACCCCUACGGGGGGAAGAAGGGGGGAAUAUUGGACAAGGGGCAAAAGCCUGACCCAGCAAUGCCGGGUGGGGGAUGAAGGCUUUAGGGUUGAAAACCUCUUUUACCCGGGAUGAUAAGGACAGUACCGGGAGAAUAAGCCCCGGCUAACCCCG
Molecule: ribosomal RNA, 431 nt
Filed under: uncultured bacterium
Lineage: Bacteria
Description: partial 16S ribosomal RNA
Rfam family: Bacterial small subunit ribosomal RNA
Source: RNAcentral